RNAcentral lists this ribosomal RNA (1375 nucleotides) under uncultured bacterium. RNAcentral describes it as "partial 16S ribosomal RNA". It matches the Rfam family "Bacterial small subunit ribosomal RNA". The record is from RNAcentral.
AGAGUUUGAUCCUGGCUCAGGAUGAACGCUAGCUACAGGCUUAACACAUGCAAGUCGAGGGGCAGCAUGUUGGUUGCUUGCAACCAACGAUGGCGACCGGCGCACGGGUGAGUAACGCGUAUCCAACCUACCCUUGUCCAUCGGAUAACCCGUCGAAAGGCGGCCUAACACGAUAUGCGGUUCACAGCAGGCAUCUAACGUGAUCGAAAUGUGAAGGAGAAGGAUGGGGAUGCGUCUGAUUAGCUUGUUGGCGGGGUAACGGCCCACCAAGUCAGCGAUCAGUAGCCGGCCUGAGAGGGUGAACGGCCACAUUGGAACUGAGACACGGUCCAAACUCCUACGGGAGGCAGCAGUGGGGAAUAUUGCACAAUGGGGGAAACCCUGAUGCAGCGACGCCGCGUGAAGGAAGAAGUAUUUCGGUAUGUAAACUUCUAUCAGCAGGGAAGAAAAUGACGGUACCUGACUAAGAAGUCCCGGCUAACUACGUGCCAGCAGCCGCGGUAAUACGGAAGGUCCGGGCGUUAUCCGGAUUUAUUGGGUUUAAAGGGAGCGUAGGCCGGAGAUUAAGCGUGUUGUGAAAUGUAGAUGCUCAACAUCUGCACUGCAGCGCGAACUGGUUUCCUUGAGUACGCACAAAGUGGGCGGAAUUCGUAGUGUAGCGGUGAAAUGCUUAGAUAUCAUGAAGAACUCCGAUCGCGAAGGCAUAUGUCCGGAGUGCAACUGACGCUGAGGCUCGAAAGUGUGGGUAUCAAACAGGAUUAGAUACCCUGGUAGUCCACACAGUAAACGAUGAAUACUCGCGGUUGGUUCGUUAGAAUCAGCCGCCAAGCGAAAGCGUUAAGUAUUCCACCUGGGGAGUACGCCGGCAACGGUGAAACUCAAAGGAAUUGACGGGGGCCCGCACAAGCGGAGGAACAUGUGGUUUAAUUCGAUGAUACGCGAGGAACCUUACCCGGGCUUGAACUGCCAGUGACUCAUGCAGAGACGCAUGUUUCUUCGGACACUGGCGGAGGUGCUGCAUGGUUGUCGUCAGCUCGUGCCGUGAGGUGUCGGCUUAAGUGCCAUAACGAGCGCAACCCUUCUCCCUGUUUGCCAUCGGGUAAUGCCGGGCACUCCAGGGAUACUGCCAUCGUAAGAUGUGAGGAAGGUGGGGAUGACGUCAAAUCAGCACGGCCCUUACGUCCGGGGCUACACACGUGUUACAAUGGGCGGUACAGAAAGCAGCUACCCCGCGAGGGGAUGCCAAUCUCAAAAACCGUUCUCAGUUCGGACUGGAGUCUGCAACCCGACUCCACGAAGCUGGAUUCGCUAGUAAUCGCGCAUCAGCCAUGGCGCGGUGAAUACGUUCCCGGGCCUUGCACACACCGCCCGUCAA